ACUCGGCGCCCCCCACCCAUCCCGGCGCGCUUGGAGAUAGACGUUUUCUUUGUCCUUUUGUCAGCUCUUGGGGGCCCCCGAACCCCCAGGCCCCCACUGCAGCGGGGGGGAUCCGGACCGGCCGGCCCUCCCCUCCAACACCACUGCGACCCCUGCCCCGCGGCCUGGACCCGCGACUCGUCCUGUUCUGGGCUGGACAGGAGGCCGGAGAGGACUCGGGCGCCCAAGGUGGAAACUGAGACCCAGAGAGCCGUGACUUGACUGAUCCCACAGCCAGGAAAUGGUGGAGCCUGGAUUUGAACCCCAGCUUUUAAGAAGAAGGUGCCACUGUCCUGGAAGAACUCUCAGGACAGCAUUAGUGUCUCAGGGAUCCCCCUAAUCGGAGGGGCCUUAAGCCUAAUCAUGAUUGUCACUGAAGAUCCAGGAGGGCUUCCUGGAGGAGGAGGCAGCUCCAUUCUGAAAUGCCAAGGGUACAGCUUUAUUGGGACAGCCAGUGUCUCUGAAUAUGUAGGUUUUGCACAGAGCUUGUACUGCCCCAGGGCCUGUACACUGCCUGUCCCCUCUGCCUUGUGCACUCUUUCCCUAGAUGUCCAAAUGGCUCCUUUCCUCACCUACCCCAAAUCUCAAUUCCAGUGUUUCCCCAGCCUCCCCUCAUUUCAGUAAUCACUCUGCAGUGAGCUAGGAUUGCGCCACUGCACUCCAGCUUGGAUAAGAGAACAAGACCCUGUCUCUUAACUAAAUACAUAAAUAAAAAUAAUUCCCCUCUUCAUCCCUCUUUACCCUGUUUUGAUGGUUUUGUUCAACUUUUCACCAAUAGGACUUUCUCUUAUGCAUUUACUCGUUUCUCUUCCAAUCCCUCCC
Molecule: long non-coding RNA, 861 nt
Filed under: Homo sapiens (human)
Lineage: Eukaryota; Metazoa; Chordata; Mammalia; Primates; Hominidae
Description: non-protein coding lnc-TNFAIP8L1-1:6
Source: RNAcentral